UGGGGAAUAUUGGGCAAUGGGCGGAAAGCCUGACCCAGCAACGCCGCGUGAAGGAAGAAGGCUUUCGGGUUGUAAACUUCUUUUCUGAGGGACGAAGCAAGUGACGGUACCUUAGG
Molecule: ribosomal RNA, 116 nt
Filed under: uncultured bacterium
Lineage: Bacteria
Description: partial 16S ribosomal RNA
Rfam family: Bacterial small subunit ribosomal RNA
Source: RNAcentral